This 1011-nucleotide small RNA is filed under the name Pan troglodytes (chimpanzee). RNAcentral's name for it is "retained intron". The record is from RNAcentral. Lineage: Eukaryota; Metazoa; Chordata; Mammalia; Primates; Hominidae.
GAGCUAGUCUUGGAAACUGAAAAUGUUGGACCAGAGUCUCUGCCCAUUCCUUUAGCUUUGGGUCCAGCUGUGGUCUGGGGUGGGAUGGGAGUCUGACCUUGCCUCACACAGGGCCUGUCUGUGCUCAUUGUGGCCAUCCACAUCCUGGAGCUGCUCAUCGAUGAGGCUGCCAUGCCCCGAGGCAUGCAGGGUGCCUCCUUAGGCCAGGUCUCCUUCUCCAAGCUGGGCUCCUUUGGUGCCAUCAUUCAGGUUGUACUCAUCUUGUAUCCUUCUGGAAACCCAUCAUUGCCUCUGUUCAGCAAACCUGUCUCCUGGGACUCUAGACCGAGCACUCCUUUGGGACUCUGAGCAACGCUGAUGGGAAGUGGGAUAAUUGGGAACUGUGUCUGUCUCCUGGUCCUAAGCUCAGCACUUCCUGUCUUCUCUCGAACCCUGGGGCUCACUCGCUUUGACCUGCUGGGUGACUUUGGACGCUUCAACUGGCUGGGCAAUUUCUACAUUGUGUUCCUCUACAACGCAGCCUUUGCAGGCCUCACCACACUCUGUCUGGUGAAGACCUUCACUGCAGCUGUGCGGGCAGAGCUGAUCCGGGCCUUUGGGCUGGACAGACUGCCGCUGCCCGUCUCCGGUUUCCCCCAGGCAUCUAGGAAGACCCAGCACCAGUGACCUCCAGCUGGGGGUGGGAAGGAAAAAACUGGACACUGCCAUCUGCUGCCUAGGCCUGGAGGGAAGCCCAAGGCUACUUGGACCUCAGGACCUGGAAUCUGAGAGGGUGGGUGGCAGAGGGGAGCAGAGCCAUCUGCACUAUUGCAUAAUCUGAGCCAGAGUUUGGGACCAGGACCCCCUGCUUUUCCAUACUUAACUGUGGCCUCAGCAUGGGGUAGGGCUGGGUGACUGGGUCUAGCCCCUGAUCCCAAAUCUGUUUACACAUCAAUCUGCCUCACUGCUGUUCUGGGCCAUCCCCAUAGCCAUGUUUACAUGAUUUGAUGUGCAAUAAGGUGGGGUAGGGGC